UAAUACAGAGGCCCCAAGCGUUAGGCGGAAUCACUGGGCUUAAAGCGUGUGUAGGCGGGUCGUUAAGUACCUUGUGAAAUCCCACGGCUUAACCGUGGAACCGCUUGGUAUACUGGCGAUCUUGAGCCACCUAGGGGCGAGCGGAACAGAUGGUGGAGCGGUGAAAUGCGUAGAUAUCAUCUGGAACGCCUAUGGUGAAAACAGCUCGCUGGGGGUGUGCUGACGCUGAGACACGAAAGCCAGGGGAGCGAACGGGAUUAGAUACCCCGGUAGUCCUGGCCCUAAACGAUGUCCACUAGAUCGUAGAACCUCUGACGGUGUUACGGUCGAAGCAAAAGUGCUAAGUGGACCGCCUGGGAAGUACGGUCGCAAGGCUA
This 377-nucleotide ribosomal RNA is filed under the name uncultured bacterium. RNAcentral's name for it is "bacterial SSU rRNA". It matches the Rfam family "Bacterial small subunit ribosomal RNA", at positions 521 to 896 of the family's 1533-position model. The record is from RNAcentral.